This 439-nucleotide ribosomal RNA is filed under the name uncultured bacterium. RNAcentral describes it as "partial 16S ribosomal RNA". It matches the Rfam family "Bacterial small subunit ribosomal RNA", at positions 339 to 795 of the family's 1533-position model. The record is from RNAcentral.
CUACGGGGCGCUCCAGUGAGGAAUAUUGCACAAUGGGGGGAACCCUGAUGCAGCAACGCCGCGUGGAGGAUGACGCAUUUCGGUGUGUAAACUCCUUUUAUAUGUCAAGAAAAUGACGGUAGCAUAUGAAUAAGCACCGGCUAACUCCGUGCCAGCAGCCGCGGUAAUACGGAGGGUGCAAGCGUUACUCGGAAUCACUGGGCGUAAAGGACGCGUAGGCGGGUUGGAAAGUCAGGUGUGAAAUCCUACAGCUUAACUGUAGAACUGCACUUGAAACUUCUAAUCUAGAGUAUGGGAGGGGGAGAUGGAAUUAGUGGUGUAGGGGUAAAAUCCGUAGAUAUCACUAGGAAUACCUAAAGCGAAGGCGAUCUCCUGGAACAGUAAUGACGCUAAGGCGUGAAAGCGUGGGGAGCAAACAGGAUUAGAUACCCCGGUAGUC